This 783-nucleotide ribosomal RNA is filed under the name uncultured bacterium. RNAcentral's name for it is "bacterial SSU rRNA". It matches the Rfam family "Bacterial small subunit ribosomal RNA", at positions 48 to 873 of the family's 1533-position model. The record is from RNAcentral.
GCAAGACAUGCAGUCGAACGAUCCCGCUGGGAGAGUGGCGGAAGGGUGAGUAACACGUGGGAAUCUACCUCCUCGCAGGGAACAACCUCUCGAAAGAGAGGCUAAUACCCAAAAGGGUCAGAAAUGAUCAAAGUCGAAAGGCGUGAGGAGAGGAGCCCGCGGCCCAUCAGCUAGUUGGUGAGGUAAUGGCUUACCAAGGCUACUACGGGUAGGGGAUCUGACAGGAUGUCCCCCACACUGGAACUGAAACACGGUCCAGACGCCUACGGGUGGCAGCAGUGAGGAAUAUUGGACAAUGGGCGAAGGCCCGAUCCAGCAACGCCGCGUGGAGGAUGAAGGCCUUCGGGUCGUAAACUUCUUUAGAGGGAGACGAGAAAGGACGGUAUCCCUAUAAUAAGCGACGGCAAACUACGUGCCAUCACCCGCGGUAACACGUACGUCGCGAGCGUUAUCCGGAUUUACUGGGCGUAAAGCGCUUGUAGGCGGUUCUGUAAGUCGGGCGUGAAAUCUCCGGGCUUAACCCGGAGUGGCCGUUCGAUACUGCAGGGCUUGAGGAUGCUAGAGGGUGGUGGAAUUCCAGGUGUAGUGGUGAAAUGCGUAGAUAUCUGGAGGAACAUCCGUGGCGAAGGCGGCCACCUGGGGCAUUCCUGACGCUGAGAAGCGACAGCUAGGGGAUCAAACUGACAUUAGAAACCCCGGUAGUCCUAGCCGUACACGAUGAACGCUACGUGUUGGCAUAUCUAACCCUGUCUGCGCCGAAGCAGACGCGUUAAGCGUCCCGCC